This 489-nucleotide ribosomal RNA is filed under the name uncultured bacterium. RNAcentral describes it as "partial 16S ribosomal RNA". It matches the Rfam family "Bacterial small subunit ribosomal RNA", at positions 30 to 506 of the family's 1533-position model. The record is from RNAcentral.
AUUGAACGCUGGCGGCAGGCCUAACACAUGCGAGUCGAACGGUAACAGGAAGAUGCUUGCUUCUUUGCUGACGAGUGGCGGACGGGUGAGUAAUGUCUGGGAAACUGCUUGAUGGAGGGGGAUAACUACUGGAAACGGUAGCUAAUACCGCAUAACGUCGCAAGACCAAAGAGGGGGACCUUCGGGCCUCUUGCCAUCGGAUGUGCCCAGAUGGGAUUAGCUAGUAGGUGGGGUAACGGCUCACCUAGGCGACGAUCCCUAGCUGGACUGAGAGGAUGACCAGCGACACGGGAGCUGGGAGACGGUCCAGAAUCCUACGGGAGGCAGCGGUGGGGAAUAUUGCACAAUGGGCGCAAGCCUGAUGCAGCCAUGCCGCGUGAAUGAAGAAGGCCUUCGGGUUGUAAAGUACUUUCAGCGGGGAGGAAGGGAGUAAAGUUAAUACCUUUAAUCAUUGACGUUACCCGCAGAAGAAGCACGGGCUAACUCGGU